AACGAACGCUGGCGGCAUGCCUAACACAUGCAAGUCGAACGAGACCUCCGGGACUUGGGGCGCCCGGGGGCGUAACGCGUGGGAACCGGCACUUAGGGUCGGAAUAACUCUCCGAAAGGGGUGCUAACAGCGGAUAAUGUCUUCUGACCAAAGAUUUAUCGCCUUUGGUUGGUCCCGCGUUGGAUUAGCUAGUUGGUAGGGUAAAAGCAUCCCAAGGCGACGAUGCAUAGCUGGUCUGAGAGGCAGAUCAGCAACUCUGAGACGGAGACGCGGCCCAGAAUCCUCCGGGAGGGAGGAGUGGGGGAUAUUGGACAAUGGCCGAAGGCAUGAUGCAGCUAUGCCGCGUGAGUGAUGAUGGCAUUAGAGUUGUAAUGCUCUUGUAACCGGGAUCAUCAUGACGGUACCGGGAGAAUAAGCCCCGGCUAACUCCGUG
RNAcentral lists this ribosomal RNA (433 nucleotides) under uncultured bacterium. Its description in RNAcentral is "partial 16S ribosomal RNA". It matches the Rfam family "Bacterial small subunit ribosomal RNA", at positions 29 to 507 of the family's 1533-position model. The record is from RNAcentral.